Molecule: ribosomal RNA, 258 nt
Filed under: uncultured bacterium
Lineage: Bacteria
Description: partial 16S ribosomal RNA
Rfam family: Bacterial small subunit ribosomal RNA
Source: RNAcentral
AACGAACGCUGGCGGCAGGCUUAACACAUGCAAGUCGAACGGGCGUAGCAAUACGUCAGUGGCGGACGGGUGAGUAACACGUGGGAAUAUGCCUUUCGGUUCGGAACAACUCGGGGAAACCCGUGCUAUUCCGGAUACGCCCUUACGGGGAAGAUUUAUCGCCGAAAGAUUAGCCCGCGUUGGAUUAGCUAGGUUGGUGAGGUAAAGGCUCACCUAAGGCGACGACUCCAUAGCUGGUUUGAGAGAACGACCAGCCAC